RNAcentral lists this transfer RNA (72 nucleotides) under Salmo salar (Atlantic salmon). It matches the Rfam family "tRNA". From Rfam's summary of the family: Transfer RNA (tRNA) molecules are approximately 80 nucleotides in length. Their secondary structure includes four short double-helical elements and three loops (D, anti-codon, and T loops). The record is from Rfam by way of RNAcentral. Lineage: Eukaryota; Metazoa; Chordata; Actinopteri; Salmoniformes; Salmonidae.
CUCCCUGUGGCUCAGUUGGUAGAGCAUGGUGUUUGCAAUGCCAGCGUUGUGGGUUCGAUUCCCACAGGGGGC